CGCGUGACACCUCCCUCCAUCCUCUUCCAAUUUCCCCUCGCACCCUCUUCCCGCCCCGUUUUCCCUCCACCAAACCCCAAUAUAUCCCCUCCCCUCUCGCUCAACCUCCCUCCACACCCCCAAGCCCCGCUCCGAUCCACGAAUCCCCCCGACCGCGACCUCCAAUCCAGAUCCACCCCCGCCCUCGCGCAUGGCGCACCCGGCAGCGGACCGCCGCCUGCGCUCCUCCCCCUCGUCGC
This 239-nucleotide long non-coding RNA is filed under the name Hordeum vulgare. RNAcentral describes it as "long non-coding RNA (HVUL_LNC020364)". Lineage: Eukaryota; Viridiplantae; Streptophyta; Magnoliopsida; Poales; Poaceae. The record is from RNAcentral.